AGAGAAGGCCGGAUGGUCGCCGGCCGCGGCAACGCGGCGGGAGGAAAGUCCGGGCUCCGCAGGGCAGGGUGCUGGGUAACGCCCAGGGGGGGCAACCCCACGGACCAGUGCCACAGAAAACAGACCGCCGUCGCGAGACGGUAAGGGUGAAACGGUGAGGUAAGAGCUCACCAGCAGUCCGGGUGACCGGGCUGGCUCGGUAAACCCCACCCGGAGCAAGGCCAAAUAGGAGAGCGGGUCGCCCGCCCGAUGCUCUCGGGUUAGGCCGCUGGAGGUGCCGGGCAACCGGCAUCCUAGAGAAAUGACCGUCGCCCUGGGUCAGGAAACUGCUCAGGGCACAGGACCCGGCUUACAGGCCUUCUCUGGCG
RNAcentral lists this RNase P RNA (368 nucleotides) under Candidatus Rokubacteria bacterium RIFCSPLOWO2_02_FULL_68_19. Its description in RNAcentral is "RNase P RNA component class A". It matches the Rfam family "Bacterial RNase P class A". Rfam says of the family: Ribonuclease P (RNase P) is a ubiquitous endoribonuclease, found in archaea, bacteria and eukarya as well as chloroplasts and mitochondria. Its best characterised activity is the generation of mature 5'-ends of tRNAs by cleaving the 5'-leader elements of precursor-tRNAs. Cellular RNase Ps are ribonucleoproteins. Lineage: Bacteria; Candidatus Rokuibacteriota. The record is from RNAcentral.